AUGAUUUGAUCACUCAUAUAAGGGAACUUGUUGGUACCAUCCAUAGGAUCAGCUCCCUGGGUUUGGGGGUCACAGGGAUUCAAGUUCAGAUCCACAUGGCUUUAUAUUUCUGCUGUGUCCAUGAACAAAUUGCCUGACCUGCCUAUGCCAUAACUGGCAGAGUGCAAACUCGAACACCCACUUCUAAAUGUUCAGUAAGAGAGGCUUUGCUUGGAGUUCCCAUUGUGGCUCAGUGGUUAACGAAUCCAACUAGGAACCAUGAGGUUGUGGGUUUGAUCCUUGGUCUUGCUCAGUGGGUUAAGGAUCUGGUGUUGCCAUGAGCUGUGGUGUAGGUCGCAGGUGCAGCUUGGCUCCUGUGUUGUUGUGGCUCUGGUGUAGGCCAGCAGCUACAGCUCUGAUUGGACCCCUAGCCUGGGAACCUCCUUAUGCCUCGGGUGUGGCCAUAGAAAAGAUAAAAACAAAACAAAACAAAAACAAAAAAAAAGAGAGGCUUUGCUUGGGAAAACAGGGGUGCAUUUCAACCUCUGAGCCAGGAGACAUUUAAUCAAUUAUUACAAAGCAGUUCUGCCUUGUUUACUUUUAAUAAUGGGUUUGUUUGCUCUUAAUAAGAAGAACCAGACCCAACCCUCCUAUUUGCUGAAGUUCGUGAGCAAAUGGAGCUGGAAGUUAGCAGUAAUCUUUGCAGCCACAAGUGGCCAGUGGCCACAGGCAACAAGUGAAAACAGGUUGUGUGCAGGGUACCAUUUCAUUUGCAGAGAGUAAUGUUAUUUACCCGUGAUCCUAUCCAGCAACUUCAAAGCUGGAGGCAAGCAUUAUCCAACCGGAAGUGCAACCCCCCACGGCCGCCUGUCCCCAAGGCAGGAGCGACACUGGGUUGUAACCUCCCCAGCGAUUUCCAUCAGGAGAUAGAGGCAGAAGAAAGGUUCUCUCUGGGCCUCACUGCCCGCAUUUGUAAAAGGAGAGAGUUGGGUCCUUUCCAGGGGAUGUUAAAUACAUCCUCCAUGUGAGGCCAGGGCCGAAUCUGGCUCUCAGGAUUCCAUGUCUGCUUUACAUAUAUGUAAAUGUCCAUUGGAGCGCCCGUCAUGGCUCAGUGGUUAACGAAUUUGACUAGAAACCAUGGGGUUGCGGGUUCAAUCCCUGGCCUUGCUCAGUGGGUUAAGAAUCCAGGCAUUGCUGUGAGCUGUGGUGUGGGUUGCAGACGCAGCUUGGAUCCCAUGUUGCUGUGGCUCUGGCGUAGGCCAGGGGCUAUAGCUCCGAUUUGACCUCCAUAUGUGGGGGGAGCGGCCCAAGAAAUGGCAAAAAGAAAAAAAAAAAAAGUCUGUCUCAGCAGGUCUGUGUCCAUUUGUUUGGGAAACAGCUAGAAAAAGAGAUUAGAGAAGGGGUGGGUGCUGUGUGCUCCAGGCAUUGACUCAGUGAAAGAAUUAAGUCACUGCUUACCUGACACGUAAUGCUUCCCCUCCCCCACCUUGAGGUACCUGUAAAUACCAACGACUGGAGUCCCCCCAUCAUGGGACAAAGCAGGGUAA
This 1526-nucleotide long non-coding RNA is filed under the name Sus scrofa (pig). RNAcentral describes it as "lncRNA (ENSSSCG00050012552.1)". Lineage: Eukaryota; Metazoa; Chordata; Mammalia; Artiodactyla; Suidae. The record is from RNAcentral.